This is a long non-coding RNA of Salvia miltiorrhiza (redroot sage), 818 nucleotides long. RefSeq lists it as uncharacterized. The record is from RefSeq and is a predicted model, not a curated record. The transcript has 2 exons. NCBI's taxonomy places the organism in Eukaryota, Viridiplantae, Streptophyta, Magnoliopsida, Lamiales, Lamiaceae.
GGAUUUUACAUACCCCAAUAAAUCUGGAAUAUUCGAUACAAUCCCGAUUUUCACUCCUCCACACAUUCACCCCUCCACUGUCUCUUUCUCUCUCUCUAAUCUAUCAUUAUCUUUCUUCUUCGUUAGGAGCCAUCAGCGGCGGCCUCUGCGGGCCGUAAAUUGGCUGGUGGAACUGCUAGGCGCAGUAGCCAUCUCCGAGAACCACACCCAAAUGUAGGCGACUUUCUGGUUUUUCCUCUUGAGGCGGUGGAUUUGGAGCCGUUAGUUCCGCAGCGGUUCUGGCAGAAGCCGUCGACGUCGGACGCCUUUAGCACGACGUUGAUUGCGUUUGUCUGCUGACCCUUGGAGGCCAGAUGGAGGCCGGUGCAUGCUCGCACACCUCGCAGAUUCAGAUGCGGCCAUGGCGCAAGCUCCCAAAUCCAUUACAAUUUCUGAAUCGGUAUCCAUUACAAUUUGAUUCGAGGCUGACCCGCGUAGCGACGGAGCCGUAGAAGGUGAAGGGCGUUUUCCACCCUUACGAAUAGCGAUGAUGAUCUUGACAGAAGCAGAAAUCUUGAAGCAGCUGCAAUGGCCGAUGGAGUCGACGAAGGAUAGUUCUACCUACGCUACUUGAGUUGAGGAGAGUUAUGUAGCAUUUUAGUGUGCUGCAUUAGGUUGUAAAAUUACUGUAAGAUUAUUCAAAUUGUAACCCAAUUUGAUUUUACUAUGUUUGUUCAUUGUUAUGUUUGUCGUAUUCAUUUUUUUUCACAUAAUUGUUCUUAUUAAUGUUCUGAAUAUCAUAUUCACAUUCUUGAGUAAUUUUGAAUAUGUUUGUGAAA